GGGCGUCGCGGAUGCCGCUGGUGACGGCGAGCGGCGGGUCGGUGCCGAGAGCGGAACUUGCUGCGGCGGGUCGGUGCCCGGGGCAGGGCAGCCCGAGCGCGCGGCCGCCUGGGGAAUCCGGCCACGGGGACUAGGUUACAGUCAAAGCACCCAAGGAACUGGAUUCUGCUAGAAUCAAUAUCAGGCUGGUUAUCUACUGAAAAAGAUAGUUUGGCAUCUUCGCUUAAUGUAAUAAAAACCUCACAUACUU
This is a non-coding RNA of Chrysemys picta bellii (western painted turtle), 250 nucleotides long. The record is from RefSeq and is a predicted model, not a curated record. NCBI's taxonomy places the organism in Eukaryota, Metazoa, Chordata, Testudines, Emydidae.